UGGGGAAUUUUGGACAAUGGGCGAAAGCCUGAUCCAGCAAUGCCGCGUGUGUGAAGAAGGCCUUCGGGUUGUAAAGCACUUUUGUCCGGAAAGAAAUCCUUGGCUCUAAUACAGUCGGGGGAUGACGGUACCGGAAGAAUAAGCACCGGCUAACUACGUGCCAGCGGCCGCGGUAAUACGUAGGGUGCAAGCGUUAAUCGGAAUUACUGGGCGUAAAGCGUGCGCAGGCGGUUUGCUAAGACCGAUGUGAAAUCCCCGGGCUCAACCUGGGAACUGCAUUGGUGACUGGCAGGCUAGAGUAUGGCAGAGGGGGGUAGAAUUCCACGUGUAGCAGUGAAAUGCGUAGAGAUGUGGAGGAAUACCGAUGGCGAAGGCAGCCCCCUGGGCCAAUACUGACGCUCAUGCACGAAAGCGUGGGGAGCAAACAGGAUUAGAUACCCUGGUAGUCCACGCCCUAAACGAUGUCAACUAGUUGUUGGGGAUUCAUUUCCUUAGUAACGUAGCUAACGCGUGAAGUUGACCGCCUGGGGAGUACGGUCGCAAGAUU
RNAcentral lists this ribosomal RNA (547 nucleotides) under uncultured bacterium. RNAcentral describes it as "partial 16S ribosomal RNA". It matches the Rfam family "Bacterial small subunit ribosomal RNA", at positions 355 to 895 of the family's 1533-position model. The record is from RNAcentral.